This 425-nucleotide ribosomal RNA is filed under the name uncultured bacterium. RNAcentral's name for it is "partial 16S ribosomal RNA". It matches the Rfam family "Bacterial small subunit ribosomal RNA", at positions 354 to 796 of the family's 1533-position model. The record is from RNAcentral.
GUGGGGAAUCUUGCGCAAUGGGCGAAAGCCUGACGCAGCCAUGCCGCGUGAAUGAUGAAGGUCUUAGGAUUGUAAAAUUCUUUCACCGGGGACGAUAAUGACGGUACCCGGAGAAGAAGCCCCGGCUAACUUCGUGCCAGCAGCCGCGGUAAUACGAAGGGGGCUAGCGUUGCUCGGAAUUACUGGGCGUAAAGGGCGCGUAGGCGGACAGUUUAGUCAGGGGUGAAAGCCCAGGGCUCAACCUUGGAAUUGCCUUUGAUACUGGCUGUCUUGAGUACGGGAGAGGUGAGUGGAACUCCGAGUGUAGAGGUGAAAUUCGUAGAUAUUCGGAAGAACACCAGUGGCGAAGGCGACUCACUGGCCCGUUACUGACGCUGAGGCGCGAAAGCGUGGGGAGCAAAUAGGAUUAGAAACCCCUGUAGUCC